RNAcentral lists this transfer RNA (71 nucleotides) under Marmota monax (woodchuck). Its description in RNAcentral is "tRNA.Ala". The record is from RNAcentral. Lineage: Eukaryota; Metazoa; Chordata; Mammalia; Rodentia; Sciuridae.
GGGGUUGUGGCUCAGUGGUAGAGUGCUCACCUCGCAGUUGUGAGACCCUAAAUUCGAUCCUCAGCACCACA